This 860-nucleotide ribosomal RNA is filed under the name uncultured bacterium. RNAcentral describes it as "bacterial SSU rRNA". It matches the Rfam family "Bacterial small subunit ribosomal RNA", at positions 29 to 873 of the family's 1533-position model. The record is from RNAcentral.
UUAAAAAUUGAAGGCCAAGCCAUAACACAUGCAAAUUGAAACGGGCAGACACGGGAGCAAUCCUGGUGCGAGUGGCGAUCCGGGUGAGUAAAUAUAUCGAAACGUGCACAAUCGUGGGGGAAAAACAUAGCGAAAAAUUACGUUAAUUCGGCAUACGAUCUAUGGAAGAAAAGCGGGGGAAUCGCAAGACCUUGACACGAAUGGAGCGGCCGAUAUCAGAUUAGGGUAGUUGGUGGGGUAAAGGGCUCACCAAGCGUUCGAUCUGUAGCUGGUCUGAGAGGACGACCAGCCACACUGGGACUGAGUCACGGCCCAGACUCCUACGGGAGGCAGCAGUGGGGAAUUUUGGACAAUGGGCGCAAGCCUGAUCCAGCAAUGCCGCGUGCAGGAUGAAGGCCUUCGGGUUGUAAACUGCUUUUGUACGGAACGAAACGGCGAGCUCUAAUACAGUUUGCUAAUGACGGUACCGUAAGAAUAAGCACCGGCUAACUACGUGCCAGCAGCCGCGGUAAUACGUAGGGUGCGAGCGUUAAUCGGAAUUACUGGGCGUAAAGCGUGCGCAGGCGGUUCUAUAAGACAGAUGUGAAAUCCCCGGGCUCAACCUGGGAAUUGCAUUUGUGACUGUAGGGCUAGAGUACGGUAGAGGGGGAUGGAAUUCCGCGUGUAGCAGUGAAAUGCGUAGAUAUGCGGAGGAACACCGAUGGCGAAGGCAAUCCCCUGGACCUGUACUGACGCUCAUGCACGAAAGCGUGGGGAGCAAACAGGAUUAGAUACCCUGGUAGUCCACGCCCUAAACGAUGUCAACUGGUUGUUGGGUCUUCACUGACUCAGUAACGAAGCUAACGCGUGAAGUGACCGCC